This is a non-coding RNA of Podarcis lilfordi (Lilford's wall lizard), 71 nucleotides long. NCBI's taxonomy places the organism in Eukaryota, Metazoa, Chordata, Lepidosauria, Squamata, Lacertidae. The record is from the annotation of a GenBank genome assembly.
GGACCAUAGCUCAGUGGUAUAGCAUUUGCCUUGCAUGCAGAAGGUAUCAGGUUCAAUCCCCAGCAUCUCUA